RNAcentral lists this ribosomal RNA (616 nucleotides) under uncultured bacterium. Its description in RNAcentral is "bacterial SSU rRNA". The stretch from base 1 to 545 matches the Rfam family "Bacterial small subunit ribosomal RNA", at positions 338 to 873 of the family's 1533-position model. The record is from RNAcentral.
CCUACGGGAGGCAGCAGUAGGGAAUCUUCCGCGAUGGACGAAAGUCUGACGGAGCAACGCCGCGUGAACGAUGAAGGCCUUCGGGUCGUAAAGUUCUGUUGUUAGGGAAGAACAAGUGCUAGUUGAAUAAGCUGGCACCUUGACGGUACCUAACCAGAAAGCCACGGCUAACUACGUGCCAGCAGCCGCGGUAAUACGUAGGUGGCAAGCGUUGUCCGGAAUUAUUGGGCGUAAAGCGCGCGCAGGCGGUUUCUUAAGUCUGAUGUGAAAGCCCCCGGCUCAACCGGGGAGGGUCAUUGGAAACUGGGAAACUUGAGUGCAGAAGAGGAAAGUGGAAUUCCAAGUGUAGCGGUGAAAUGCGUAGAGAUUUGGAGGAACACCAGUGGCGAAGGCGACUUUCUGGUCUGUAACUGACGCUGAGGCGCGAAAGCGUGGGGAGCAAACAGGAUUAGAUACCCUGGUAGUCCACGCUGUAAACGAUGAGUGCUAAGUGUUAGAGGGUUUCCGCCCUUUAGUGCUGAAGUUAACGCAUUAAGCNCUCCGCCGUGGNGACGUCGCAGACNGAACACAAGAGAGUAGCGNGNGAGAGCGACGACGACGACGACGGAGGGAGGAG